Molecule: ribosomal RNA, 253 nt
Filed under: uncultured bacterium
Lineage: Bacteria
Description: partial 16S ribosomal RNA
Rfam family: Bacterial small subunit ribosomal RNA
Source: RNAcentral
UACGUAGGGUGCAAGCGUUGUCCGGAAUUAUUGGGCGUAAAGAGCUCGUAGGCGGUCUGUCGCGUCUGGUGUGAAAUCCCAUGGCUCAACUGUGGGCUUGCAUCGGGUACGGGCAGACUAGAGUGUGGUAGAGGGUAGUGGAAUUCCCGGUGUAGCAGUGAAAUGCGUAGAGAUCGGGAGGAACAUCCAUGGCGAAGGCGAUCCCCUGGGCCUGUACUGACGCUCAUGCACGAAAGCGUGGGGAGCAAACAGG